RNAcentral lists this transfer RNA (67 nucleotides) under Myotis brandtii (Brandt's bat). It matches the Rfam family "tRNA". From Rfam's summary of the family: Transfer RNA (tRNA) molecules are approximately 80 nucleotides in length. The record is from Rfam by way of RNAcentral. Lineage: Eukaryota; Metazoa; Chordata; Mammalia; Chiroptera; Vespertilionidae.
GCCCGUGUGGCUCAGUGGAUAGAGCCUGCGGACUGAACGGUCCCGGGUUCGAUUCCCGGUCAGGGCA